This 983-nucleotide ribosomal RNA is filed under the name uncultured bacterium. RNAcentral describes it as "bacterial SSU rRNA". It matches the Rfam family "Bacterial small subunit ribosomal RNA", at positions 8 to 1022 of the family's 1533-position model. The record is from RNAcentral.
AGAGUUUGAUCCUGGCUCAGAAUCAACGCUGGCGGCGCGCCUAACACAUGCAAGUCGAACGAGAAAGUGGAGCAAUCCAUGAGUAAAGUGGCGUACGGGUGAGUAACACGUGGAUCAUCUGCCCUUUUGUGGGGAAUACCGAUGGGAAACCGUCGACAAUACCGCAUAAGCCCGAGAGGGGAAAGCAGCAAUGCGCAGAAGGAGGAGUCCGCGGUCGAUUAGCUAGUUGGUAGGGUAAUGGCCUACCAAGGCUGUGAUCGAUAGCCGGCCUGAGAGGGCACACGGCCACACUGGCACUGAAACACGGGCCAGACUCCUACGGGAGGCAGCAGUGGGGAAUCUUGCACAAUGGGGGAAACCCUGAUGCAGCGACGCCGCGUGAGCGAUGAAGCCCUUCGGGGUGUAAAGCUCUUUCGGCAGGGAAGAUUAUGACGGUACCUGCAGAAGCAGCUGCGGCUAACUACGUGCCAGCAGCCGCGGUAAUACGUAGGCAGCAAGCGUUGUUCGGAGUUACUGGGCGUAAAGGGUGCGUAGGCGGCUCUGUAAGUAUGGUGUGAAAUCUCCCGGCUUAACUGGGAGGGUGCGCUAUAGACUGCGGGGCUCGAGUGUGGGAGAGGAAAGUGGAAUUCCUGGUGUAGCGGUGAAAUGCGUAGAUAUCAGGAGGAACACCGGUGGUGUAAACGGCUUUCUGGACCAUAACUGACGCUGGGGCACGAAAGCGUGGGUAGCAAACAGGAUUAGAUACCCUGGUAGUCCACGCCCUAAACGAUGCACAUUUGGUGUGGGUCAUUCAGUUGAUCCGUGCCGGAGCUAACGCGUUAAAUGUGCCGCCUGGGGAGUACAGUCGCAAGGCUGAAACUCAAAGGAAUUGACGGGGGCCCGCACAAGCGGUGGAGCAUGUGGUUUAAUUCGACGCAACGCGAAGAACCUUACCUGGGCUCGAAAUGCUGUGGACCAGCUGGUGAAAGCCGGCCUUCCCGCAA